UCCUGAUCACAAUCACCCCCUCAAAAACCCCUUUAGAGACAAACGAAACACCGCCGCCCGCCACCACGCCGGAAAUCGCCAACAGCGGUGGUCGGCGACCAAUCCCUCCCAUUGUUACACCAUAGACUCCCCUCGACCUCCCCGUUCCAAAUCCACACUCCAUUAACUUCGAAUCUUCACCGUUUGUCUCGAAUAUUAGAUCGAAAGAUCAGACCCUAAUUCACCCAAUCACUACCAAAAUCACACCAGUCAACCACCUGACCACCCUCGUCCCAAAUCGCACCCCGGUUUUGUUCGAAUCUCGCUAGAACUGUUCGAAUCUUAAAUCGAAUGAACGAGCCCUAGAAAAUCCAAUUUCCAGGCUUUGUGCAAAUUAUGAGCUUGAGGUCUCAACCGACCUUAGUCGAGUGUUCUCAGUCGAGAACACUAGAUUAAGGUCCGUUUGGGCCUCAAAAGUUCGAGUCAAAGCUUCGAUGAGAACGGAGUUUGUUUGCUUUCUGAUUCCUUAGGUAUUCCUUCUAUUUUCCUUUUUAUAUAUCAUUUUGUUAUUGUUGUUUAUCUCUUUAGUUUUUGUUGUAACUCAUAUUUUGUUCAUUACUUUUCUUCUUUGUCCAUCAGACCUUUUAUUUGGUCCAGUUUCACCAUUGUUUAUGUUGUUGUCAAUUAUCAUAUGUUCUAAUUGCGGAAUCGAUUCAAAUAGCUUAAUCGAUUAGUUAGUUUUCUUGUAGCUCUUUGUUUUUGUUCCAGGCUACUCGAAUCCCCUGUACCCCUCCCAAUUUUGUUCAAGACUAUAUGGUCCAAUUCACUUGCAUGUUUGGUUUACUCUAGAUUUCUUUUCCUUCUUUGAGUGAUUUGAACUAGUCAGUGCUUAGUAUGUCUUGUGUAAAAAAAAGUGGUUGUUCCCGUAAUUUCUCGCUAUUACUAUUAGUUCAAGGGGUUUCAUCUUUGUUAUCUACUUCCAUAUGAAUUCUAGUUGGUUGUCAUUUAGUGUAUUUGCAUUGUUCGUUUAGGUUCAAUAUAGAAUUGUAUUAGUUUAUUCCCUGAACCAUUGAUUCCUUCAUCUUGGUUGCAAUAUUGUUUGCCCUGAUUUGAGUUCAAUUGUUAUUUGAGUUUAGUGAUUUUGAAUCAGAUUGUGGUUAUGUUUAAAUCUGGAGUCUGAUAAGUUAGACUUGAGUUUAAGUCCAGUUUUGUUGUUCCUGAUUCAUUAGGAAUUGACUCAGAUUCUCUAAUUUAGAUAAAUUUGGUUAUAGCUGGGGGUACAGGGUUUGAGGUAGUAGUUCAGGACUUUAGGAGGGUAAUUUGGGGAUUGAAACUUGGAGAGUUGAUUUAAUUGAGUGGUCUGUCCAGUAGGAUACUAAGGUGCCAUUUAAAAUAAUGCAUUUGUUUACGAGUAGUGGGGAAGACAUAAUGAUAUAAAGCAAGGAAAAAGGGAUCGGAAAGUAAAAAAGUUGAGGGGUAAUAAUGAAAAGCUAAAAGAUACACAUAGUAGAGGAAUAUAGAAGCUGGAAAGUAAAAAGAAGUAUGGGAUAAUGAUAAAAGGUUUUCUUUACAACUGUUAAAAGAAACACAUAGUAGAGGAAUAUAGAAGCUGGAAAGUAAAAAGAAGUAUGGGGUAAUGAUAAAAGGUUUCUUUACAACUGUUAAAAGAAACACAUAGUCUCCUCCUCAUUUGAUACUCAAGAAGAAGUGUAUCUUGAAAUUAAAAGGAUUUCAGAAUCUACAAAUGACUCACUAACCAAGCUUCUGAAGUGUGAUUAUGGAGAGUUCCUAAAAAGGGUGAUUAUGGAGAGUUUCCUAAAAAUUCUGAAAUGGGGGCUGCUACUAAGAUACCAGCUCAUUUCAAGAGCUUCUAUGACAGUAUUAAACUCGAACAAGUUCUCAAAAUCAACAAAAAAACUUUGUGGAAGAAAUUCAAGCCAUGUAGACUAAGGAUAUGACUGACUUUUUGAACUUUUUCUUGCAAAAACGGUUCAUGGAAAUGUCACAUCAUCUAAAGGAGUUACCUUAUAUACUGUGGUGUUAUUUUUCAAAGGUGAUUUUUAAUGUAUUGGAGAGGCACUAUGCAACUUGCCCUCAAAUUCCAAGCCCUAAAGAAGCCAUGAGACAUUUAGUUGAAUCAGAGAAAAGAUGCAUUGGCUGAUUGGCUACAAAACUCUUUGGAGAUGGAAAGAUUGAUUUUCAAAACAAUCAAUCCAAAAUAUGAGGUAUUGGUUUUUCAAUCAUCUACCCUGGAGAAGAAGCUGAUGGAGGAGCUCUCGAAAGGUGCCCACACGAUGAUGCUCAACAUAUAAGCUUGGAGCUGGUCAACAUUGAUCAUUUAUCAAAUAAUAACAGUGAUAAUGUUCAGAAAGCAUUCCAAGUUUACAUAAAAGUUGGUAUAUAUUGGGAUAUUAUUUCCUUGAGAUUGCCUGAGUUUAUUAUGGUCUAUAUGACAUCAGCUAUCGAGAGGUUGGUUGAUAAUAUUAAAGGGGAUAUAUUUAUUCAUAUGUGUCGUAGUCUAAUGGGGGCAUGAUAAAUAUUUCAUUUUGCCUGUUUUAUCUCCUAAUGAGUGAUGCUUGAAGAGCGUCUAAAAGCCCAUAAGAAGCAGUUGGUGGACAUCAUUGAAGUUUAAUUUAGUUUUGAAUGUGAUCAAGUAUUAAGUGAUGCAUGAAAGGUAUUUUUUUGUGGUUUAUGUUCUUUUAGGUUAUUUUUUUAAUUUAAAUUUUUGGGUUUGACGUAAUUAUGCUGCUACAAAAAGACAGUUGGGAAGUAGUAGCUCGAUUGUUAAUUUUUUCAUGUUUAGGUGUGUCAUCAUCACUUGGUUUUUAAAUAUUUUAUGAGUUUAGAUAAUCUCUUAGUUUUAAUAUACUUUAUUUUAUGUCUGAACCCACCUUUAAUUUUUCUUCAUCCUUGUUAACCAUUGGCUCUGAUACCACUAGUUGGGAUCGAAAUAAUAUGGAGCAUGCUAGAGCUAACAAAGAGAAUUUUGAUGAUACUAAAAAAUAUAAAACAUUAAUAUAGUUGGAAAACUGUCCUACAUAUGAUAAAAUUAAUUAAAAAGAAAAAAACUAUCUAAAGAAAAAUUUCUACCUAACAAUACUCUUUGGUGUUUACACUGUGAAAGUUGUAUUUCUUGCCACAACUAAUAGAGUUCUUUCACAUUUCUUGUCGACUUUCUUAGAUAUAUUCAUUGACUCAACUUUUUUAGGCAAUGAAUCAGUACUGACUGAUAAUACAUUCAAGAUAAUCUUGUCCUCGGGGUCAAAUAAUUCAAAAUCAUCUGCUAUAUUCGCUCAUAUAUCUCUUUAUUAGCUUCGUCUAAGGUAGGAAUCUCUGCGAAAUCCACAAUUGUAAGAUCAGAAAAACCGUUCUUCUUCAGGAUUAGAGUCAAAUGGUUGUAAGAUACUCCAUUUGUUAUGCCAACAAUUGUGUUUGUCACCCGACUUAUUUCUAAGGCUAUAUACCACUAAUCAUCAUCGGUAGUACUUCUCAGUGUCCUUGUUUUCUCAUCAAACUCGAGGGAAACCUCAAGUUUACGACUAUGAUAAUUUUGAAGCUUAAUAAGGAUAGGAACCCGAGUGCAGAAGUGUCCUUCUAAUAGAAUUUUGAUUCCGAUAAGGGAUGCAAUAAGACAAGAUUUACCUAAACAUGUGUAACCAGCUAGAACACCUGUAGGCACUGCAGGGGGUUGGAUACAUUGCUGCAUCACGCUUAAGCUUCGUUGGAGCUUAUUAAUGAAAUGAAAGAGCGGGGGCAGGAUAGUUUCAUCGGUUAUAUGAUAAGACAUUAGGUGGCGCAUAAUCUUCUUCUGGCCGUGAAUUGCUUUUCUUUUCACUAAUGUCCAUUGCUUGUUCUUUGUUCCAAGAAAAGAUGGAAUGUCACGUUUAGGAUUUAAACCCGUGAAUUAGAGCAAGUUUUGAAUAUUCUUUGCCACUUUAUUAGAUUUUUUUUCUUAUAUUAAAGGGAAUCAACAUUUUAUCCAGUUAAUGAGAUAAAGUAUGGCCCAUUUCCACUAUAUAAACUACUUGUUCUCUUUAUAUUCAUUGUGCUUAAAACAACUUUCUUCUCCAUUUUCUUUCUAGUGACAAAUACUAUAGUUUAUUCAAAACUCCAAUGGCCAGUAGUGUUAAAGUACUUAACGAUGAAAUUAUAGAAAAAAUUGUUGCAAUUGAAGAGUCUCCACCUUAUUUGGAUACUCACGAAGAAGUAUAUCUUGAAAUCAAAUGGAUUUCGGAAUACACAAAUGACUCACUAACCAAACUUUUUAAGGGUGAUUAUAGAGAGUUUCCUAAAAAGGGUGAUUAAGGAGAGUUUCCUAAAAAUUCUCAAAUGGAGGUUGCUGCUAGGAUACCAACUCAUUUCAAGAGCUUCUUUGAUAGCAUUCAGCUCAAAAAAGUUCGUCAAAACCAACAAAAAUUUUUGGUGGAAGAAAUUCAAGCCAUGCAGACUAAAGAUAAGAAUGACUUCUUGAACUUUUUCUUGCAAAAAAGGAUCACGGGAAUAUCAUAUCAUCUAAUGGAGUUACCCUGUCUACUGUGGAUUUAUAUUUCAAAGAUAAUUUUUAAUGUAUUGGAGAGGCACUGUGCAACUUGCCCUCAAAUUAUAUGCCUUAAAGAAGCCAUGAGACAUUUAGUUGAAUCAGCGAAAGACGCAUUGGCUGAUUGGCCACAAAAAUAUUUGGAGAUGGAAAGAUUGAUUUUCAAAACCAUCAAUCAAAAAUAUGAGGUAUUAGUUUCUCAAUCAUCAACCCUGGAGAAGAAGCUGAUGGAUGAGCUCUCGAAAAAUGCUCACACGAUGAUGCUUAACAUAUAAUACUUAAGUUGGUCAACACUGAUCAUUUAUCAAAUUAUAACAGUGAUAUUAUUCAGAAAUCAUUCCAUGUUUACAUAAAAGUUGGUAUUUAUUAGGAUAUUAUUUCAUUGAGAUAUGCUGAUUUAUGAUGGCCUAUAUGACAUCAGCUAUCCAGAAGUUGGUUGAUAAGAUUUAAGGGGAUGUAUUUAUUAAUAUGUGGCGUAGUCUAAUGGGGCAUGAUAAGCAUUUCAUUCUGCCUGUUCUAUCUCCAAAACGAGUGAUGCUUGAAGAGCGUCUAGAAGCCCUUAAAAAGCAGUUGGUAGCCACGAUAGAAAUUUAAUUUAUUUUUGAACGUGACCAAGUAUUAAGUGAUGCAUGAAAGGUGUUUCUUUUGUGGUUUAUAUUGUUUUAGUUUAUUUUUUUAAUUUAAAUUUUCGGGUUUAACGUAAUUAUUCUGCUACAAAAAUUCUGUUGGGAUUCAGUAGCUUGAUUGUUAAUCUUUUCAUGUUUAGGUGUGUCAUCAUCUCUUGGUUUUUAAAUAUUUUAUGAGUUUAGAUAAUCUCUUUGUUUUAAUAUAUUUUAUUUUAUGUCUGAACUCACCUUGAAUUUUUCUUCAACCUUGCUAGCCAUUGGCUCUAAUAUCACUUGUUGGGAUCGAAAUAAUAUGGUGCAUGCGAGAGCUAACAAAGAGAAUUUUGAUGAUACUAAAAAAACAUAAAACUUUAAUAUGGUUGGUCAAUUGACCUACAUAUAAUAAAAUUAAUUAUAAAGAAUUAUCUAAAGAAACAUUUCUCCCUAAUCAAAGCUCUUUGGUGUCUACAUUGUGAAAGUUGUAUUUCUUGCCGCAACUACUAGAGUUCUUUCACAUUUCUUGUCGACUUUCUUAGAUAUAUUCAUUGACUCAAAUUUUUUAGGUAAUGAAUCAGUACUGGUUGAUAAUACAUUCAAGAUAAUCCUGUCCUCGGGGUCAAAUAAUUCAAAAAUAUCAGGUGUAUUCGCUCAUAUAUCUCUUUAUUAGCUUCGUCUGAGAUAGGAAUCUCUGGCAAAUCCAUAAUAGUAAGAUCAGAAAAACUAUUCUUCUUUAGGAUUCGAGUCAAAGGGUUAUUAGAUAUUCCAUUUGAUAUGCCAACAAUUGUGUUUGUCACCCGACUUAUUUCUAAGGCUACACACCACUCAUCGUCAUCGGUAUUACUUCUCAUUGUCCUUGUUUUACUCAUAAAACUCGAGGGAAACCUCAAGUUUACGACUAUGAUGAUUUUGAAGCUUAAUAAGGACAGGAACUCGAGUGCAAAAGUGCCCUUUUAACGCAAUUUUGAUUCCGAUAAGGUAUGCAAUAACGCUAGAUGUACCUAAAUAUACCAACUAGAACAAUUGUAGGCACUACAGGGGGUUGGAUACAUUGUUGCAUAGCGUUUAAGCGUCGUUGCAGUUUAUUAACGAAAUCAAAGAGCGUGGGUCGGAUUGUUUCAUCAUUAUAUGAAGAGACAAUAGAUGGUACAUAAUCUUCUUCUGGUUGCGAAUUGAUUUUCUUUCAUUAAUGUCCAUUGUUUGUUCUUUGUUCCAAGAAAAGAUAGAAUGUCACGUUUAGGAUUUAAACACGUGAAUUAAAGCAAGUUUUGAAUAUUCUUUGCCACUUUAUUAAAUUUUUUUCUUAUAUUAAAGGGAAUCAACAUUUUAUCCAGUUAAUGAUAUAAAGUAUGGCCCGUUUUCACUAUAUAAACAACUUGUUCUCUUCAUAUUCAUUGUGCUUAAAACAACUUUCUUCUCCAUUUUCUUUCUAGUGACAGAUACUAUAGUUUAUUCAAAACUCCAAUGGGCAGUAGUGUUAAAGUACUUAAAGAUGAAUUAUAGAAACAAUUGCUGCAAUUGAAAAGUCUCCUCCUCAUUCUGAUACUCAGGAAGAAGUGUAUCUUGAAAUUAAAAGGAUUUCAGAAUCUACAAAUGACUCACUAACCAAGCUUCUUUAGGGUGAUAUGGAGAGUUUCCUAAAAAUUCUGAAAUGGGGGCUGCUACUAAGAUACCAGCUCAUUUCAAGAGCUUCUACGACAGUAUUAAACUCAAACAAGUUCGUCAAAAUCAACAGAAAAAUUUUGUGGAAGAAAUUCAAGCCAUAUAGAAUAAGGAUAUGACUGACUUUUUGAACUUUUUCUUGCAAAAAAGGUUCAUGGAAAUGUCACAUCAUCUAAAGGAGUUGCCCUGUCUACAGUGGAGUUAUUUUUCAAAGAUUAUUUUCAAUGUAUUGGAGAGGCAUUGUGCAACUUUCCCUCAAAUUCCAAGCCCUAAAGAAGACAUGCGACAUUUAGUUGAAUCAGAGAAAGAUGCAUUGGCUGAUUGGCUACAAAAAUAAUAGGAGAUGGAAAGAUUGAUUUGCAAAACAAUCAAUCCAAAAUAUGAGGUAUUGGUUUUUCAAUCAUCUACCCUGGAGAAGAAGCUGAUGGAGGAGCUCUCAAAAGGUGCCAACACGAUGAUGCUUAACAUAUAAGCUUGGAGUUGGUCAACAUUGAUCAUUUAUCAAAUUAUAACAGUGAUAAUGUUCAGAAAGCAUUCCAAGUUUACAUAAAAGUUGAUAUUUAUUGGGAUAUUAUUUCAUUGAGAUUGCCUGAUUAUAUGCUGAUCUAUAUGACAUCAGCUAUCAGUAGGUUGGUUGAUAAUAUUUAAGGGGAUAUAUUUAUUCAUAUGUGUCGUAGUCUAAUGGAGGCAUGAUAAACAUUUCAUUUUUCCUGUUCUAUCUCCAAACGAGUGAUGCUUGAAGAGCGUCUAAAAGACCAUAAAAAGUAGUUGGUGGCCAUCAUAGAAGUUUAAUUUGUUUUUGAAUGUGAUCAAGUAUUAAGUGAUGCAUGAAAGGUAUUUUUUUGUGAUUUAUGUUCUUUUAGGUUAUUUUUUAAUUUAAAUUUUCGGGUUUGACGUAAUUAUGCUGCUACAAAAAUUCAGUUGGGAUGCAGUAGCUCGAUUGUUAAUUUUUUCAUGUUUAGGUGUGUCAUCAUCACUUGGUUUUUAAAUAUUUUAUGAGUUUAGAUAAUCUCUUAGUUUUAAUAUACUUUAUUUUAUGUCUGAACCCACCUUUAAUUUUUCUUCAUCCUUGUUAACCAUUGGCUCUGAUACCACUAGUUGGGAUCGAAAUAAUAUGGAGCAUGCUAGAGCUAACAAAGAGAAUUUUGAUGAUACUAAAAAAUAUAAAACAUUAAUAUAGUUGGAAAACUGUCCUACAUAUGAUAAAAUUAAUUAAAAAGAAAAAAACUAUCUAAAGAAAAAUUUCUACCUAACAAUACUCUUUGGUGUUUACACUGUGAAAGUUGUAUUUCUUGCCACAACUAAUAGAGUUCUUUUUUUUUGUCUGAACCCACCUUUAAUUUUUCUUCAUCCUUGCUAACCAUUGGCUCUGAUACCACAUGUUGGGAUCGAAAUAAUAUGGAUCAUGCGAGAGCUAACAAAGAGAAUUUUUAUGAUACUAAAAAAAUAUAAAACUUUAAUGUGGUUGAAAAACUGACCUACAUAUGAUGAAAUUAAUUAAAAAGAAAAAAAAUAUCUAAAUAAAAAUUUCUACCUAAACAAUACUCUUUGGUGUCUACAUUGUGAAAGGUAUAUUUCUUGCCACAACUAAUAGAGUUCUUUCACAUUUCUUGUCGACUUUCUUAGAUAUAUUCAUUGACCCAAAUUUAUUAGGCAAUGAAUCAGUACUGACUGAUAAUACAUUCAAGAUAAUCUUGUCCUCGGGGUCAAAUAAUUCAAAACAUCUGCUGUAUUCGCUCAUAUAUCUCUUUAUUAGCUUUGUCUAAGGUAGGAAUCUCUGCCAAAUUCACAAUUGUAAGAUCAGAAAAAUCAUUCUUCUUCAGGAUUAGAGUCAAAUGGUUGUAAGAUACUCCAUUUGUUAUGCCAACAAUUGUGUUCGUCACCCGACUUAUUUCUAAGGCUAUAUACCACUAAUCAUAAUCGAUAGGACUUCUUCGUGUCCUUGUUUUCUCAUCAAACUCUAGGGAAACCUCAAGUUUACGACUAUGAUUAUUUUGAAGCUUAAUAAGGAUAGGAACCCGAGUGCAGAAGUAUUAUUUUAAUGGAAUUUUGAUUCCGAUAAGGGAUGCAAUAAGGCAAGAUUUACCUAAACAUGUGUAACCAACUAAAACACUUAUAGGCACUGAAGGGGGUUGGAUACAUUGUUGCGUCGUGUUCAAGCUUCGUUGCAGCUUAUUAAUGAAAUCAAAGAGUGGGGGCAGGAUAGUUUCAUCGUUAUAUGAUGACACAAUAGGUGGCGCAUAAUCUUCUUCUGGCUGUGAAUUGCUUUUCUUUUCACUAAUGUCCAUUGCUUGUUCUCUGUUCCAAGAAAAGAUAGAAUGUCACGUUUAGGAUUUAAACUCGUGAAUUAAAGCAAGUUUUGAAUAUCCUUUUCCCCUGUAUUAGAUUUGUUUCUUAUAUUAAAGGGAUUCAACAUUUUAUCCUGUUAAUGAGAUAAAGUAUGGCCCAUUUUCACUAGUUUAAUUGUAUUGGAGAGGCACUGUGCAACUUGCUCUCAAUUUCUAAGCCCUAGGGAAGUCGUGAUAUAUUUAGUUGAAUUAGAGAAGAAUGUUUUGGUUGAUUGGCCACGGAAAUAUUUGGAGAUGGAAAAAUUGAUUUUCAAAAUAAUCAAUUUAAAACAUGAGGUAUUUGUUUCUCAAUCAUUUAUCCUAGAGAAGCAGCUGAUGGAGGAGCUUUCGAAAGGUGCCCACACGAUGAUGCUUAACAAUAUAAGUCUUGAGUUGGUUAACAUUAAUCAUUUAUCAAAUUAUAACAGUGAUAUUGUUCAGAAAGCCUUCCAAGUUUACAUAAAAGUUGGUAUUUAUU
RNAcentral lists this long non-coding RNA (9585 nucleotides) under Nicotiana benthamiana. RNAcentral describes it as "long non-coding RNA (NBEN_LNC039141)". The record is from RNAcentral. Lineage: Eukaryota; Viridiplantae; Streptophyta; Magnoliopsida; Solanales; Solanaceae.